This 1173-nucleotide long non-coding RNA is filed under the name Macaca fascicularis (crab-eating macaque). RNAcentral's name for it is "lncRNA (ENSMFAG00000040898.2)". Lineage: Eukaryota; Metazoa; Chordata; Mammalia; Primates; Cercopithecidae. The record is from RNAcentral.
AAUGUAACUUUCUCAAGUUUUAAGACUGGAAAGGUCAAUUUUUAUGUUUAUCCAAAAUAAACCAUAAACAUCAGUUCUAUGAGGCACAGAAGCCUCAAUUUAUUUUUUUGCCAUAAAUACCAAUGAAGUUAUAAGACACUAAGUGCUUAAAGGCAACUAGAAGAAGGUAUGCUCUUUAAAAGUUGACUAUUAUUUAGCAGUUUUAGGUUAACAGCAAAAUUAAAUGGAAGGUAGAGAUUUUCCAUAGACCCUGCCUCCCACAUGUGCUCAGCCUCCCCAACAUCUUGCUUUGGGGUGGUACAUUUGUUACAACUGAUGAACCUAUAGGGACAUGUGUUUGUGUUUAUUUUUCAAUGGAUGAAACUCAUAUAACCAUGAUCAUCAAAAUACAAAAUUGACAUUUAAUCUUUAGGAUGUUUGACUAAUCUGUUUCUCCCAUUCUAACCCAAUCUCUUAAUCUUUUUUUUUUGUUGUUGUUGUAGGACAACUUAUAUAUUUCAAAUGGACAAAAAAUUAGUAUCAUUUACAGUAUCUUAAGAUAAAUUUCCUUUGAAUGGGAGCUUCCUUUCCAGUACUUUGAGGUGUAUAAGAUGUAUCUAGAAAAUUUACUACUGUGGAAAAUGAAGACUGCUUAAAUCAAAUGGGGGGGAAGGGGAAGGGCCUAUUGUUUUUCUUUUUGAUUAAUUGCUGUAACACUGUCCUUUGGGCGGCUGAGGGAGUUUCAUAUUUUCUUUAGACAUCAUUAGGCGCCGAAGCUCUUGCAGGACAACUUUGAUGCUAUAUGAAUUCUGCCAUUUUGCUAGCACUGAUAUGGCUCUUGGGUCCACCACUCUAUUAGAACUAUUUACUCCAUUCAUAUUAAUUUUUGUUACAAAUCUUACAAAGGGGGGUGCUUCUGGGUAUUUAGGUCCACAUUCUAUUUUAAGGCUGUAUAUUCGGUUUUCAUAAAUUGUUCUUGAAAGCCCAAUUAUCAUCCCUGUCCAUCUUGUAAGUGUCAUGUCUUCGUCAUCUUCUAGACUCCAGCUAACUGUGCCAUCUCCUACUCCUUUCUGGCCUUCUUCAAGUUCUUCCAAUAGUCGGAAAUUGCGAGAGACUUUUACUCCCGAGCCCGUGGUGGCUGCCAUCUUGCCUUGAUGUUGCUUGAAGGCUGGCCCCUUCUUCACCGCCCUCCCC